AGUGAACGCUGGCGGCAGGCCUAACACAUGCAAGUCGAGCGGCAGCGGGUUCCCGCGAGGGGAUGCCGGCGAGCGGCGGACGGGUGAGGAACACAUCGGAAUCUGCCUGGUUGUGGGGGAUAACGUAGGGAACUUACGCUAAUACCGCAUGAGACCCUGAGUCGACGGACUGGGGGUGAAAGUGAGGGACCUUCGGGCCGUCACGCGACCAGAUGAGCCGAUGUCGGAUUAGCUAGUUGGCGGGGUAACGGCCCGCCAAGGCGACGAUCCGUAGCUGGUCUGAGAGGAUGAUCAGCCACACUGGCACUGCGACACGGGCCAGACUCCUACGGGAGGC
This 337-nucleotide ribosomal RNA is filed under the name uncultured bacterium. RNAcentral's name for it is "bacterial SSU rRNA". It matches the Rfam family "Bacterial small subunit ribosomal RNA", at positions 30 to 349 of the family's 1533-position model. The record is from RNAcentral.